GCCGGAGUGGCGGAACGGCAGACGCGGCGGACUCAAAAUCCGCUGUCCACCAGGGCGUGAGGGUUCGAAUCCCUCCUCAGGCACCA
This 86-nucleotide transfer RNA is filed under the name Candidatus Fermentibacterota bacterium. RNAcentral's name for it is "tRNA-Leu". It matches the Rfam family "tRNA". From Rfam's summary of the family: Transfer RNA (tRNA) molecules are approximately 80 nucleotides in length. The record is from RNAcentral. Lineage: Bacteria; Pseudomonadati; Candidatus Fermentibacterota.